Molecule: ribosomal RNA, 247 nt
Filed under: uncultured bacterium
Lineage: Bacteria
Description: partial 16S ribosomal RNA
Rfam family: Bacterial small subunit ribosomal RNA
Source: RNAcentral
AUACGGAGGAUGCAAGCGUUAUCCGGAUUUAUUGGGUUUAAAGGGUGCGCAGGCUGACCGGUAAGUCAGGGGUGAAACUUUACAGCUUAACUGUAAACGUGCCUUUGAUACUGCCGGACUAGAGUUUAAGAGACGUAAUUGGAAUGUGAUGUGUAGCGGUGAAAUGCUUAGAUAUAUCACAGAACGCCGAUCGUGAAGACAGAUUACGAACUUAAUACUGACGCUGAGGCUCGAAAGUAUGGGUAGC